UUAGAAUACUCUUGUUCUUUAUUUCAGUUUACGAGAGACAGGGAAAUGGCGAUUUCUCUGUAUUUUUGUCGUCGGUUUUCUCUGCAUUAGGUGUCUUGCUUGCCUUGUAAUUUGAUUUGAUCGUGAUUUGAAUUCAGUUAUGGAUUUUAAGAAUUCUGACCGAAGAUGGCGGUUUGGUUGAUCGGUUGAUUUUGUUUGGAUUCACUGUUUCUGGUUGGAUGUGCCGUGAUUAUUUGAAGGAAUUAGAUAAGGAUCGCUUGCCGCCGUAAUAUUCACGAGCGCAGACAGGGAGAUGCGAUGUGGUUGAGGAAUAGAAGGCGUCGAAGAGAGCGUGGUGCAAUAAUUAGGAUCGCUGGCGGAAUCUCAACCAUCAUCGCCCUGCAAUCAAUCCGAGGAGAAGACCACAAUCACGCGCAAAACCUAACUCUGGUCUUGAAUCGAGUCUGACGGUUCUUUGUGCGAUGUCUUGGAUCAAUGUCAUUGAGUGGCUACUCUGUUUUGAGUGAUGAUUUAAUGCUAGGUUCUCAAUUAGGGCACACUGAGGUCAUUGUUAACUGCAUUUGGGAGAGGUUCUACCCGGGUUCUUAAUGCUUAUAGUGAGUGUAAGAAACCAGGAGCUCUCUGGGUUUCAAACAGCCAAGUCAAUAACUUGAAGAAUCUUCAAGUAGUGACAUGCUUUGUGCUAUGCUAUACAUGCUCACGUGUGCGGUCGACAGAGACCCUACAAGCCCACGUGCUGUCUGCCAAGAGCACGACAGACCUACUUGCAUUGGUUAAGGCCCAUCCUGCAGAAUAAGUUUCCUACCGGCCCAAUGAUUGCUAUACAACAGCAGUCAAGAGCACAUGCUGUUUGCCGAAAGUCCAAAAGGCCCAAUUGAAUGUUGGGCCCAAACUCAAUUGAGUCCAAUUUAGUCAGUGUAGGCCCAUUCGAUAGGCCAAACGUUGUGCCCAACGAGCCGACAGGAGCACGUGCUGUCUGCCUUAAAUCCUCUCCAGGUGCACUCAGUCGCGACAGCUGUCGCUUAACAGCCGACAGAAGCACAUGCUGUCUGCCAAAGCCCACGUCCAGUGGUAAUGGACCAUCAGGCCCAAUUUUUUUCUGUGUGGGCUAUAGAGCCCAAUGUGAUGUCAGCAUAAGUCUAUUUGAUAGGCCCAAUAGCUGUCUCCAAACACCCGACAGGAUCACAUGAGAAGCACAUGCUGUCUGCCAAAGCCCACGUCCAGUGGUAAUGGACCAUCAGGCCCAAUGUUUUUCCUUUCUGGGCUAUAUGGCCCAAUGUAAUGUCAACAUAAGUUUAUUUGACAGGCCCAAUAGUUGUCUCCAAACACCCGACAGGAUCACAUGCUGUCUGCUUACUAAAUUCCAAUCACGCGCAGUGGUCCUGGACCAUUAGGCCCAAAUGUUGUUUUUGUGUGGGUUAUAUAGCCCAAUGUAAUGUCAGCGGAAGCCCAUUGAACAGGCCCAAUAUUUGUCUCCAAGCACCCAACAGGAUCUCAUGCUGCCUGCUCAGAUCCAAACAGACCCACGUGUAGCUGUCAAGGCCCAUCUAGCCCAGUGUCGGUUCUCUCCCGGCCCAUAAGGCCCAAUGGAGAUGUCGGCACAGGCCCAAUUAAAAUUCACCUGAAUGUCGCACACACGCCGACAGAAGCACGUGCUGCCCGAGAAAUCCCGACAGAUCCACGAGCAGUGGUUACCUUCACGGCCCAAUGUAAUGUCAGGCCCAAAUUCUGUUGGUCAAGUGCCGACAGAUACACAUGCUCUCUGCUCAGACCCGACAGGGCCACGUGCUGUUUGGUCUAACUGGACAAUCCCAAGUGCAAUUGGUCAAUGCCUGUCGGGCAUGAAUGAUCUGAUAGUGCCACAAUAGUCACCCGUGACCCGACAAGCCCACCAAGGCCCAU
Andrographis paniculata is the source of this 1902-nucleotide long non-coding RNA. RefSeq lists it as uncharacterized. The transcript is spliced from 4 exons. The record is from RefSeq and is a predicted model, not a curated record. Lineage: Eukaryota; Viridiplantae; Streptophyta; Magnoliopsida; Lamiales; Acanthaceae.